This 142-nucleotide small nucleolar RNA is filed under the name Microtus ochrogaster (prairie vole). RNAcentral's name for it is "Small nucleolar RNA SNORA75 (ENSMOCG00000003115.1)". The record is from RNAcentral. Lineage: Eukaryota; Metazoa; Chordata; Mammalia; Rodentia; Cricetidae.
AACUAGCCUGGGCUCAUCAAAAGAAAAAAAAAUCUACUGGUGGCAGACUAUGGAUUCGCAAGAGAAGAAGAGAGAAUUCACAGAACUAGCUCUUAGCUUCUGUUUUUACAGAGGUAUAUUUUGGCUAUCGUGUGAGACAUUC